GCUGGUCUGAGAGGAUGACCAGCCACACUGGAACUGAGACACGGUCCAGACUCCUACGGGAGGCAGCAGUGGGGAAUAUUGCACAAUGGGCGCAAGCCUGAUGCAGCCAUGCCGCGUGUAUGAAGAAGGCCUUCGGGUUGUAAAGUACUUUCAGCGGGGAGGAAGGUGUUGUGGUUAAUAACCGCAGCAAUUGACGUUACCCGCAGAAGAAGCACCGGCUAACUCCGUGCCAGCAGCCGCGGUAAUACGGAGGGUGCAAGCGUUAAUCGGAAUUACUGGGCGUAAAGCGCACGCAGGCGGUCUGUCAAGUCGGAUGUGAAAUCCCCGGGCUCAACCUGGGAACUGCAUUCGAAACUGGCAGGCUUGAGUCUUGUAGAGGGGGGUAGAAUUCCAGGUGUAGCGGUG
RNAcentral lists this ribosomal RNA (405 nucleotides) under Salmonella enterica subsp. enterica serovar Indiana. RNAcentral's name for it is "bacterial SSU rRNA". It matches the Rfam family "Bacterial small subunit ribosomal RNA", at positions 286 to 683 of the family's 1533-position model. Lineage: Bacteria; Pseudomonadati; Pseudomonadota; Gammaproteobacteria; Enterobacterales; Enterobacteriaceae. The record is from RNAcentral.